UAGGGAAUAUUGGACAAUGGGUGAGAGCCUGAUCCAGCCAUGCCGCGUGCAGGAAGAAGGCGUUAUGCGUUGUAAACUGCUUUUUGCCAGGGGAUAAAAUGACCGUGCGCGGUUAAUUGAAGGUACCUGGUGAAUAAGCCACGGCUAACUACGUGCCAGCAGCCGCGGUAAUACGUAGGUGGCAAGCGUUGUCCGGAUUUAUUGGGUUUAAAGGGUGCGUAGGUGGCCCUGUAAGUCAGUGGUGAAAUAUCUCAGCUUAACUGAGAGGGUGCCAUUGAUACUGCAGGGCUUGAGUACAGAUGAGGUAGGCGGAAUUGACGGUGUAGCGGUGAAAUGCAUAGAUAUCGUCAAGAACACCGAUAGCGAAGGCAGCUUACCAAGCUGCAACUGACACUGAGGCACGAAAGUGUGGGGAUCAAACAGGAUUAGAUACCCCCGUAGUCCCUGAGCGGGCUGGCAAGGCGCAU
Molecule: ribosomal RNA, 467 nt
Filed under: uncultured bacterium
Lineage: Bacteria
Description: bacterial SSU rRNA
Rfam family: Bacterial small subunit ribosomal RNA
Source: RNAcentral